This 253-nucleotide ribosomal RNA is filed under the name uncultured bacterium. Its description in RNAcentral is "partial 16S ribosomal RNA". It matches the Rfam family "Bacterial small subunit ribosomal RNA", at positions 524 to 776 of the family's 1533-position model. The record is from RNAcentral.
UACGUAGGGGGCAAGCGUUAUCCGGAUUUACUGGGUGUAAAGGGGGCGCAGACGGCAGCGCAAGCCAGGAGUGAAAGCCCGGGGCCCAACCCCGGGACUGCUCUUGGAACUGCGCGGCUGGAGUGCAGGAGGGGCAGGCGGAAUUCCUGGUGUAGCGGUGAAAUGCGUAGAUAUCAGGAGGAACACAGGUGGCGAAGGCGGCCUGCUGGACUGCGACUGACGUUGAGGCCCGAAAGCGUGGGGAGCAAACAGG